This 253-nucleotide ribosomal RNA is filed under the name uncultured bacterium. RNAcentral's name for it is "partial 16S ribosomal RNA". It matches the Rfam family "Bacterial small subunit ribosomal RNA", at positions 524 to 776 of the family's 1533-position model. The record is from RNAcentral.
UACGUAGGGUGCGAGCGUUGUCCGGAAUUAUUGGGCGUAAAGGGCUCGUCGGCGGUUUGUCGCGUCGGGAGUGAAAACCUUGGGCUUAACUCAGGGCUUGCUUUCGAUACGGGCAGACUAGAGGUAUGCAGGGGAGAACGGAAUUCCUGGUGUAGCGGUGAAAUGCGCAGAUAUCAGGAGGAACACCGGUGGCGAAGGCGGUUCUCUGGGCAUGAUCUGACGCUGAGGAGCGAAAGUGUGGGGAGCGAACAGG